RNAcentral lists this ribosomal RNA (603 nucleotides) under Triticum aestivum (bread wheat). Its description in RNAcentral is "partial small subunit ribosomal RNA". Lineage: Eukaryota; Viridiplantae; Streptophyta; Magnoliopsida; Poales; Poaceae. The record is from RNAcentral.
AUGAUGAAGAGAUUUGCGUUCGAGGAGAGGGAGAUGGCGCGCGUGCUGCUGCUCGUGUCGCGCGAGCAGGCGAUGCCCAUGCCGAUGCCAUCGUCGGUAGGUGCGAGUGUGACCGGGCGUGGUGACCGCGCCCCGGAGCGGGCGUUCAUGUGCAAGACGUGCGACCGCGUGUUCCCGUCGUUCCAAGCGCUGGGCGGCCACCGCGCUAGCCACAAGAAGCCGCGGCUUGAUGGCGACGGCGACUUCAAGCCCAAGAUGCACGGCUGCUCCAUCUGCGGCCUUGAGUUCGCUGUCGGUCAGGCGCUCGGCGGCCACAUGAGGCGUCACCGUGCCAUGGUUGCAGGAGGCCAUGGCGUCACGGCCGGGCCGCCGGCGAAAACGGUCAACAACCUUGACGACAGCAGCAACGCCGUUGUGGUUGUUGGCAGCGGAGGCGGCAUCAAGCCCGGGCUAUGGCUCGACCUGAACCAACCGCCGUGUGACGAUGUGGGUGGCAGCGACGUCGAUCACGGCGAGUGCGGCCAUGACGCCGCAGCCGCUGGGUACACGUUCCACCAGUUCUUGGAUGCCGGCACCAUGCCGGUGGACUGCGUCGGCUACUAG